UACGGAGGGGGCUAGCGUUGUUCGGAAUUACUGGGCGUAAAGCGCACGUAGGCGGAUCAGAAAGUCAGAGGUGAAAUCCCAGGGCUCAACCUUGGAACUGCCUUUGAAACUCCUGGUCUUGAGUUCGAGAGAGGUGAGUGGAAUUCCGAGUGUAGAGGUGAAAUUCGUAGAUAUUCGGAGGAACACCAGUGGCGAAGGCGGCUCACUGGCUCGAUACUGACGCUGAGGUGCGAAAGCGUGGGGAGCAAACAGG
Molecule: ribosomal RNA, 253 nt
Filed under: uncultured bacterium
Lineage: Bacteria
Description: partial 16S ribosomal RNA
Rfam family: Bacterial small subunit ribosomal RNA
Source: RNAcentral